Molecule: ribosomal RNA, 497 nt
Filed under: uncultured bacterium
Lineage: Bacteria
Description: partial 16S ribosomal RNA
Rfam family: Bacterial small subunit ribosomal RNA
Source: RNAcentral
GAUGAACGCUGGCGGCGUGCCUAAUACAUGCAAGUCGAGCGAAUGGACGAGAAGCUUGCUUCUCUGAUGUUAGCGGCGGACGGGUGAGUAACACGUGGAUAACCUACCUAUAAGACUGGGAUAACUUCGGGAAACCGGAGCUAAUACCGGAUAAUAUUUUGAACCGCAUUGUUCAAAAGUGAAAGACGGUCUUGCUGUCACUUAUAGAUGGAUCCGCGCUGCAUUAUCUAGUUGGUAAGGUAACGGCUUACCAAGGCAACGAUGCAUAGCCGACCUGAGAGGGUGAUCGGCCACACUGCAACUUGGACACGGUCCAGACUCCUACGGGAGGCAGCAGUAGGGAAUCUUCCGCAAUGGGCGAAAGCCUGACGGAGCAACGCCGCGUGAGGGAUGAAGGUAUUCGGAUCGUAAAACUCUGUUAUUAGGGAAGAACAUAUGUGUAAGUAACUGUGCACAUCUUGACGGUACCUAAUCAGAAAGCCACGGCUAACUACGUG